AAAAAUGGUUAAUAUAUAGUUUCUCAAAAAACGCUUCAUACAAUUGAAAACUGUGUAUAAUAUUUUAAAUCAAUACAUAAUACUUCCCUUUUUUAUAUACAAGCAAAAUGCAAUUUAUUAAUGAAAAGAGAAAUGGAUAGAAGGCUGCGUCCAACUAAACCCAUGCCAGCAGGCAUACCCCUUACACCCAACCUAAUGAAGCAAGACCUUCUACCUAUGUCAACAGAAAGUGACGCAAAGCAAUUAUAACAAAGCUAACAAAUACAAUUGCGGUACAAUCCCUGUUUGCAAGAGAGUCAGCGAAGCAAUUCACUGCUCUAGGAGCAUGACUCACCCCGGCAUUAGGGAGGCGCUUUAGGUUGCAGCUAAUAGAGUUCAGCACAGAGGAGAGACGCCGAGGUGUACUGUCUUAGUGUCAUCGUUAUUCACCCAAGACACAGCGAUCUAAGGGUCAGUUUCAAUAAGGAUACCGACAGCAUUAGUAGGGUAAAGAGGAGGAGAAACAGACAACAAACGCUUUUUGAAUGGCCUUUAACUCUGCGGCGCUUGAAUCAUCAAUCCUAGGGAGGAACCUUCAACGUUCAACUUGAGCUGAUUUAGAGGCGAAGGGGUCCAGGAAGAUACAGGUUGAUGCUUUGAUGGAAGAGACUGAAGACAGCAGAUCCAAACCAGAGUAUGGGAAGCUAGCGUCCAUUGCCUUGAGCCAGAUGGCUACUCGAUGGAGAAUAAGAGAACACAGAGAGAGCAAUGACACCUCCUCACCCGAGAAAAUUCCUUCAUUUCUCAUAAGCCAGAUGGACCACAUAAUUGAGAAAAAUAAAGUGUACCAGAAUUUGACCUGAAACUUCCCAUGAGCCAAAAUUUUCCAUUCUAGCAGCAACAAAGAAACAGAAUUACGAAUACACAAAUAAAUUCCCUACCAAUUAAAGCACCAAGAUCACAUCUCUCAUGAAGUUUUGCACUCCACAAAGAUAUGAGUUUAAUGGCAUUACUGCAACGGGGACAAAGAAUCUCGGAUGCUGGGAUAAUAUUGAGCCUACAUAACCAUUCUUUUGAGACCAAUCUGCCAAGGCAUGCCAACCAAAACAUAAUCUCAACCUUUGGAGGAGCGAGACAAUGAAGGGUAUUGUGGAACACACCUAACAUUCUGAAUUAAGGAAGCACUUAUAAAGAGGAUUAAGCAACCAUAAUCAACAAAUAAUACUUGAUUUAAAGAUUAAACUUCUUUAAAUGUUACUAUAGAUUUUUUUUAUUAACAACUCAAUUAAAAGUAACAGCUUGAUUAAAUUUUAAUAAUUUAUGAGAAAAUAACAACUUAAAAGAAAAAUCAUUCAUUUGUCUGAAACGUUUCAUCCUUUAUAUAUAUAUAUAUAUUACCACCAACUCAUAGUCACUCCAUAUUUAACUACAAAAAGAGUUGCACGCAUUAAGGUUGCUAGCAACCGGAAGAUUUCUUUUUGACAAAACAAUAGGAGUACCUUUCAAUUACGGGUCAACAAUUCAUGCCAUUAUUCACACAGAAUGACCACUUCCCAAAUGAUGAUGUAAAUGGGGACAGAGCCAAUCACUCAACAACAGCAGUAAUGCACAUGAACAUCAUUGGGAAUGUUGAACAGUCAAACCUUAACGAAAAAAAAAGUCUUCGGCUCAGUUUACAAAGUAAACAAGGAAUCUGAUUUGAUAGGUUUAAUGUAAUUUCAGGACUACAACUAAAUUUGAGCAUUUUAAAGUUUCCUUGAAUGUAUUAUAAAUUUAAUCCAACAUGCUCAAGCAUCAAAGGAAAGCUAUGGAAUCAUGUACAGUAACUUGAGAAAUUUAAAGAGAGCAGGAUUUACUUGCCUUACAAGAGAUGGAAUUUUACAACUAUUUGCAAGUGCAAGAAUUGCUAUGAUUGAUGGAUGUGCUUUUCUUUCACUACAUACAAAUGUGGACACACGCUAACCUUAUUUCAUAUGAAAAAGAAAUUUAUAAAUAACACUCACAGAAGAAUAUAAUCAGUGCAACAAUAAAUUGAAUAGUUUCACUUGUGAGUGACAUACAAGAAGAAAGCUGGUUUCAGAGGCAACAAGUUUGUUUCAAAGUUGUCUCCUUAAGUAGUCAGUAGGACUGAUCCCAAUUUUAAGUGUUUUCAGUUAGAAAUCAUUUUCCACAGGAGCAUAAUUCACCCAAUUAUCUCCUCUUAACUUGUUGGAGAAAAAUGGAAGUUGUUCCUUAUCUGAAGAAGCCAUCAAUGAAGAAAUUCUACAGUCCCAAGUUG
Molecule: unclassified non-coding RNA, 2257 nt
Filed under: Hevea brasiliensis (rubber tree)
Lineage: Eukaryota; Viridiplantae; Streptophyta; Magnoliopsida; Malpighiales; Euphorbiaceae
Source: RNAcentral